RNAcentral lists this long non-coding RNA (787 nucleotides) under Zalophus californianus (California sea lion). RNAcentral's name for it is "lncRNA (ENSZCAG00015015517.1)". The record is from RNAcentral. Lineage: Eukaryota; Metazoa; Chordata; Mammalia; Carnivora; Otariidae.
AUGCUGUACUCGCGGCGGCCCGGCCCUCGUCCGGGAGUGCGUGUGUGCGCGCGUGUGUGCGCGAGUGAGUGUGUGCGCGGGGGUGCGCGCGCGGGCGGGAGUGGGCGCGCGCGGGGAAAGGCCCGAAAACACCUUAGUUUGCACCGAGAGACCAUUUGCAGCGGAACCCGAAAGUUUGCAAGAGGAAGAGAGCGCGCGGCGAGCAAGCGGGCAAGGGGCAGCGGCAGCGGCGCCGGGGACCAUGGUGCUGUCGGCGCCUCCUCCGCGGGCGUGAAGGCGGCGCUCCCACUCCCUCCCUGGACUCUGCGGGUGAGCGCAGAGAUGGAACACAGAUGCUCCCGUGUGAAGUGGAAGGAAGUUGCAGUUGGUCCUAAUUCAACAUGUUUCAAAGGGGGACUUGGCUCACCUGCUUCCAGAUCAUUGUGUGUGUUUGUCUACGUGUCGGGGAGUUUUAUUAAAAUACAGAUUCUUGCAUUGGAAUUUUUGCUGACUGAUGAGAGAAUGCAUUUUAAACAAACUUCCCCUGGUAAUUCUGAAGCAUGCUAAACAGAGGACUGUGGACCAAGUGAUUUAUACUGCUAGAGAUUCUGGAACUGAAAUCUUUAUCUUCUUUUGGAUUUUACUGAUGAAUUUUUUUGUUUUAUCUUGAGGCCUGUAUUAUUUUUAAUGAGUUCGGUUUUCCAUUAAGAAUCAAAACUGGUGGUUUUCUAAGUAUGUACGAGUAUUGGAAUCAUAGUGGAGCUCUGGUUCCUGACACAGACGUAGUAGCGCUGCUCCUGGAUGUGCC